AACCGGGGUGCUUUAAUUAAGGCUGAGAUUAUACCCGUAGAACUUCGUAUGAGGUUCCAACCUGAUCCGGAUAAUGCCGGCGGAGGAAGAUAUGAA
Molecule: non-coding RNA, 96 nt
Filed under: uncultured Treponema sp.
Lineage: Bacteria; Pseudomonadati; Spirochaetota; Spirochaetia; Treponematales; Treponemataceae
Source: RNAcentral